AGAGUUUGAUCCUGGCUCAGGACGAACGCUGGCGGCGUGCUUAACACAUGCAAGUCGAGCGGUAAGGCCCUUCGGGGUACACGAGCGGCGAACGGGUGAGUAACACGUGGGUGAUCUGCCUCGUACUCUGGGAUAAGCCUGGGAAACUGGGUCUAAUACCGGAUAGGACCAUCUGCUUCAUGGUGGGUGGUGGAAAGUUU
This 200-nucleotide ribosomal RNA is filed under the name uncultured bacterium. Its description in RNAcentral is "partial 16S ribosomal RNA". It matches the Rfam family "Bacterial small subunit ribosomal RNA", at positions 8 to 210 of the family's 1533-position model. The record is from RNAcentral.